GACGAACGCUGGCGGCGUGGAUUAGGCAUGCAAGUCGAACGGUAUCAUCCUUUCGGGGGUGAGAGAGUGGCGAACUGGUGAGUAACACGUAGGUUAUCUACCCUCAAGACGGGGACAACCCAGGGAAACUUGGGCUAAUACCGGAUGUGAGCAACUUUUAGUUGUUUGAAAGGUGGCGUAAGCUGUCGCUUGGGGAUGAGCCUGCGUCCUAUUAGUUAGUUGGUGAGGUAACGGCUCACCUAGGCAAUGAUAGGUAGGCGGCCUUAACGGGUGGUCGCCCACACUGGGAUUGAGAUACGGCCCAGACUCCUACGGGAGGCAGCAGUCGAGAAUAGUCUACAAUGGUCGGAAGACUGAUAGUGCGACGCCGCGUGAACGAUGAAUCCCUUCGGGGUGUAAAGUUCUUUUAUAUGUGAGCAGUGCUUCUUAUAUUAACAGUAUGGGGAGAGAGAUAUUAGCAUAUGAAUAAGCAACGGCUAACUCCGUGCCAGCAGCCGACGGUAAUA
RNAcentral lists this ribosomal RNA (506 nucleotides) under uncultured bacterium. Its description in RNAcentral is "bacterial SSU rRNA". It matches the Rfam family "Bacterial small subunit ribosomal RNA", at positions 28 to 525 of the family's 1533-position model. The record is from RNAcentral.